Molecule: microRNA precursor, 145 nt
Organism: Gossypium arboreum
Lineage: Eukaryota; Viridiplantae; Streptophyta; Magnoliopsida; Malvales; Malvaceae
Rfam family: MIR7502 microRNA precursor family
Source: Rfam
UGUUAAAAAUUUCAUCCAUUUGUGCUGUUAAAAACUGGCAUGGCUAAUAGAAUAGCCAAAUAGUGAUAUGUGAUGUGCCAUGUAUACCUCGUACUGACAUACAAAGACUAGUUUUUAACAAUAGAAAUUGAUGGAUGUUUCAACA